UUUUUCAUCAUCUUCAUAUUCCUCACCCGUGUUGACACUCCCAGCACAUAGGCGACUUCUGUUAGGGUCACCAGCUGCUGGAAGAACAGCCAUGGGCCUAUCUGGUCUACCGACCUGCAAUACUUGUACUCUGUUCUGCCUUCCUGGUUCACCGUUUCCAUUGUCCUGACCAAUGUUGUCCUCUGGUCUUGGCAAGAGGAAGUCUGUCAAACCAAGCGCCCAACCAACACCAGUGAACCAGUAACGUAGAAGGGACUUAAUUGAGGUCUGGAAUCUGAAAUGUUUGAUAACAAAUGGUAUGCAUAUUUGUAACAGAAGCAUGUCGGCUGGAAUCUCAGUGAAUGGGUCGGAUACACUGCAUAGAUGCACAAGUUAGGAAAGACCUCAAACACAAAAUCUCCAAAAACAAGAGGUUAGUCAAUAUUUCUUACGAUAUGUCGAGUGGAAAGAUUGAAGGAGCCAUCCGGAUCGCAAGUUUGACUGGCAAAAAUACCAGCAUGACAAUCAAACUUCCAUACACUGCAGUUUCUAACAGAACCUUCCGAGCUUGCUUGUGUACUGGAUCAUCAAUCAUAUCUUGGAACGGAUCGACAUUAGGAUCUUCAAGAUAAUCAAGGAAAUACAAAACUCCAGGUCGAAGAACCUGCAAUUGGCACAGAAGUGAAAAAAUAUUAGGUAGUACAGAGAAAAAACUGUUUCCAUAAUGAAAUUAUGAUCAAGGAAAACACAGUACCUCUCGAAGAAGGCUUUCGAAGAUCAUUGUAAACAUGAGGUACAUGAAUCCAACAACCCAAUGAAGAAGUGAGCUUACCAAUGGAGAAGUUGAUAAAAACUGUACUCUGUGGGACAUUGUUUUACCAAACAUCCCAACCGUGCAAAUAUCUAGCGACCACCCACACAUCAGAGGGAAGACCCCUAAGAAGUAGACAUAAAAACAGGUAGCUUUGAGCAUAGUCAUCAGAUGCCUCAUUGCUGCCGAGAACUGUUUAAGGAGGGAUGAUACAGCUUCUUCUUCACCAUCAGCGUCGUCCAAACCAUGAAAACUCUGUUCAACCUGAGCCUCGAUACGAACUGCUUGUAUGCCCAACCUUUCAAGAACAUUUUCAGGGUUCCUAUUAACAAUCUGACCAACCGCAGCACCCUGAUCCCCAGCAUCUUCGCAAUUCUCCUCUCCCGCAAGAUUCCUAUUAGCCUGUCCAGCAGGUCUUCUGACAGCACGAGCACCAUUUCUGUCCACUUCAUCGUCUCUCUCUUCUUGCCCCCUUAGCUCUCGCAAACGCCUAAAGAUCACCUUUAGUAUAAUUACUCCAAAGUAAAAGAAGUAAAUUGUUGCCGACAGUAAGAACCCAUGCAAACAAUCAGUGAGAAUUACUGUGGUGGAGAUGUGACUUAAGAACAACCGCUGAGCUUCACCAAAACUCCGUACAAAAGCCAAUCGCCAUACCCAAAAUGUGAUAUAAGGAAUAGUGAUAAACCAGGCCGAAAUCAGGAAGCUCAACCGCAGAAAGAAGUGUAAAACACCGAAAAGUUUCGUGGCAAUGGCAACUACAAACUCCUGGAAAGGGAGCCUUGUUGGAGCAUUUUCAGCAUACACUGGGGAGAAUGAAAAAGGAUGUUUGCAAACCUGCAGAGAUAUAGUGAGCAAUAAGCUUCAAUCACUCUAUUAAACUCAAAUAAUCUGGAUUCAUGAACUCCAAUAAUAAGGAUGAGUUCCAUUCUAGGUAAAACUACGACCUAUAAGAAACAUUUAUAGAAAGAGCACUUCAAACUCUGCAAUAUAGUCUUAUUGAAGCUCACUACCUAUGACCAAAUCGUAGAGAGACAAACUGAGAAGGUUACCUAAAACCAUAAAAAAAACACAGAUAAAGCAAAUCUUCUAUAAGGGAGAGACAAAACCUCGCAGUGACGAGCUUUGCAGUGAUUAAGCCACUGAAGGAGGCAAUCCUGGUGAACAAAUUUGAUGCUCCCGCGGCAGGUGCACGGAUACCGAAGCGGAUUGUCCGUAUCCCCAGGAAUUCUGCAAAUCCUGCACAAGUCCUCCUCAUCUUCAACUGCCACCGUAGCAAAUGCGUGAUCCAUGGUGGAGAAAGCGGUGGAAGAGGCCUGAUUCGGCGACGAAGCAGACAGGCGCGAGGAGGAUGACGAAGAAGAUACCGAAGGCUCCGAGACGACCUCAGAGGCGGUUGCGCCAGAGAUGGACAACGAUUCGGCGGAGGAAAUCUCCAUGGAGAACUAGGAACAACGUAGCGAGCUUCAACUCGGUGCAGCGAGUCAACUCAGUGACUCGGAUUACGCCGACCCACGGUGAUAUUGAGGAGAAGGGUCACACUAAGCUCCCGCCAAUUCACAACGCCGAGCUAAAAGGGUCGGUCUAUCGCAGUUUAUUGUUAUCCGACUAAAUUGAUUAUAUGGUAGGACUAGACCGGGACUUGUAAACCGGUAAUUGACGAAAUUAAUUUUGGUUAAUAAUAGCCUAAGUUCAUCACUAAUGUUCAUAAAUUAUCUUUUUCUGUGUUCCUCUUAUUUUUAUAUCGUUGGAAAAGAAAAAACCAAAACAAUAUCAAUGAAUAUGAUCACACAUCGCCAAAUAAAUCUUCAAAUUAAAGACUUACGUGCACUAACAUAAGAGGUAAGAAUUUGCAAUUCGCGAUGGUUAUAAUAGAAACACACAAGGCAUACAUAUGGACAAACGAAGCAUUAUUCUAAAGAUGUUUUAGUUUAGUACACAAAGAAAAAGAAGAGAAUCAUCAACGGAUAUAAUAAUUUACACAUCGACUAAUAAAAUAAAAUCUUUCAAAGCCAUCUCUUAACGGCUUAAGUACACAACUGUUAAACGCCUCAGUGCACAGUUUCCAACUGAGUUUGACAAAAUACCUAAGCUUCUUGUUGGAUUGCACGUCUGAGCCUAAGUCCAUUAUCAACAUCUCCCUCACGUCCUAUCAGGACACCAUCUCCUGCAUCCUCACUACUUUGGUUUUGGUUUUGAUUUGCCAAAGCAGCUUCCCCAAAGUUAUGCAGUCUCCGACCAAUGAGAUAACGGUCAUCACGGAUAGAGUUGUGAAGGUUUCUGAACCAGACAUGGCAUCUUUUUGCACAGAAGCAAAAGAGGCUCACUGAGAGACAACCUAUCCAUGCGUAUCUGUAGACCGCUGAGUUCACUACUAGCGGAUAUCCGAGCAUUGGGAACACUCCUCUCGCCAGGACAUAAGGCACACAUAAAGCCGUUAGGAGUUUCAUCACGAUCGGAAACACAAUCUCUCUAAGUACCCAUAACCCUUGAAGCCUCGAGAAGCCAUCUUCUCUUACCCGCUCAAACUUUGCUCUCCAGCUAUCAUCCACUAUUGGAAGCAUAUGAUCCAGCAUUACCUGUCCAUUGACGUUGCUUUUUAGUGACAAAAUAUCUUCUUAAGCGGGAAAAGUAUUUGAUUUUUGGAGAAAAUUACUUACCAGUCUAGUCCAGAUCUUCAAAAAGAUGAGCCCAAGAGCCCAGUCUUGAUACAGGAGGAAGACAGGGCUUUCAUCAACUGGGACUCUCAUUGGGACAAUAACCAAAAGCUCAAACAGAAGUCCAAUUAGCACCGGAAUGAUAAAAACCUGUUUAAUCACCAUUUUAAAAGCACAGAGUCCAGAAUUAGUAGAGUUUGGAGUAUCUCAAAAAUUGAAAAUAUAACAGCAAAAACCACUUACCCAUAUGGCUAACAGCACCGAGCUCUUGAAAACAAUCCCACACCAUUUCCAUAUUUGGUUAAGCAAGACUGAAGUCCUCUUUGACUUGACAUGCUCAAUAGCAUACCUGGCCCCAGAUAUGGUAGUCCAAAAGGCAUAUGUACCAAUGACGAAAGCAUACAGGUCUACAUAUUUUUAAGGGAUUCUGUUAAUAAUGAGUAACCGUGUGAAAGAAUGACGCAGAAGAUCAAAAUUAACAAACAUUACCAUUGCAUUUGAUGCCAUGAGUUAUUGGAAGAAUUGGGAUGGCACUGAAUAGAGCACGUCCAAGCGAAACUGGUACAACUAUCAAUGCUGAAUUGAAGAGAAGAAGAGUCACCCAUGCAACAAGUAGAAGGAGGAUUAUUCUGACGACAAAGUUGUACCUGCUAAGAAAAUACGUUCAUAUCAGGGGAAGACCUAAUGGAAAUCUUGACAUACUUAGUCAAGUCUAUAUACCAAGCGAACAGUCCUGUUAAUUAGUUCAAGCAUGCAAAAAAAUCUUACUAUCAAAAAAGAUUUUAGCUUAUUUCGUAAGUAAGAACUUACUCUGAAUCAGAUUGUUCUUCAUCAUCUUCAUAUUCCUCACCCGUGUUGACAUUCCCAGCACGGAGGCGACUUCUGUUAGGGUCAUCAGCUACUGGGAGCGCAGCCAUGGCCAUGUCAGGUCCUCCCACCUGCAAUACUUGUGCUCUGUUCUGCCUUCCUGGUUCACCAUUUCCAUUGUCCUGACCAAUGUUGUCCUCUGGUCUUGGCAAGAGGAAGUCUGUCAAACCAAGUGCCCAGCCAACACCAGUGAACCAGCAGCGUAGAAGGGACUUAAUUGUGGUCCGAAGUCUGAAAUGCUCGAUGAUAAAUGGAAUGC
This 4570-nucleotide long non-coding RNA is filed under the name Arabidopsis lyrata. Its description in RNAcentral is "long non-coding RNA (ALYR_LNC000765)". Lineage: Eukaryota; Viridiplantae; Streptophyta; Magnoliopsida; Brassicales; Brassicaceae. The record is from RNAcentral.